UACAGAGGGUGCAAGCGUUGUUCGGAAUCACUGGGCGUAAAGCGCGCGCAGGCGGAUGGUUGCGUCCGGCGUGAAAUUUCGCCGCUCAACGGCGAAGCUGCUUUGGAUACGGACCGUCUAGGGACCGGUAGAGGCUGGUAGAAUUGCAGGUGUAGCGGUGGAAUGCGUAGAGAUCUGCAAGAAUACCCGUGGCGAAGGCGGCCAGCUGGGCCGGAUCCGACGCUGAGGCGCGAAAGCGUGGGGAGCAAACAGG
RNAcentral lists this ribosomal RNA (253 nucleotides) under uncultured bacterium. RNAcentral's name for it is "partial 16S ribosomal RNA". It matches the Rfam family "Bacterial small subunit ribosomal RNA", at positions 524 to 776 of the family's 1533-position model. The record is from RNAcentral.